CUUGGGUUGUCUCUAGUAAUUGAAUUUUAACCCGUGAGAAACUAUGACACUUUCUUGAAAGUAGAACGGCCGAGGUAGCAAAAUUGAGGAUUAAAGAGAAACAAUCUGAAGUUUAUGAGAAAUAAUCGAAGCUGAAUAACCGAAGAUUUCUGAGCUCUGUUUCCCCCUUUCCUCGAAUUAGCUUCCCUGAUUGAUUUUCCCCUCAUCAUCAGGCCUCAAGCAAAUUGGAAACAAAACGAAAAGAGCUUCACAAAAUUAUAUCAAUCCAAUCUAUUUUUAUGUUUAGAAAUGAAAAUUUAUUUAUUUCAAAUGAAGUACGUAACUGUUAUUGCCAAGCAUUUGCUUCUAUAAUUCGAGUUGCUUUUGGUUCCUAUGACUCCAUCAAUCACCAGCUGCUAGCACUAGCUUUGGUACUGGAGCAAGCACCAAAUUUCUGGACUUUGUCUCAAAUCUUUUGGCACAAAAGUGCAUUUCUAAGGGUAGAAGGUUGGCAAUCUAGUGGAUCUGACUCAAAAACGGAAGCUCUAUUACUAGAAGUCCGAGACUUGUCAACAUAUGUCGUGUUGUCAUAUGAAUAUGCCCAAUGCAAGUUCUGGUGAAAAAAAUUAAACCUGAAAGUAGUCAAAAUCUUGUGCGGAUUGGUUUGUAAUGCACAUCCAAGUAAAUUGGAUAAACAAUACGAAAAAUGAAUCUGAAAAGGUUUCAAUUGGACUUUUCUACUCUGAUGAAUAGUGCGUUUUGUACUAGCUCUGCUGCUGCAGUUUUCAUAACUGAGAUAUGCCUUUCGUCUGUUUGUCACUUGCAGUAGCAGUACCAAUUUAUUCUUGCACCUCUUGGAUAUUUCCUUUCUACUGAAUUCUGAUUAAUUCUCCAAAGACUAUUA
This is a long non-coding RNA of Nicotiana attenuata, 883 nucleotides long. RefSeq lists it as uncharacterized. The record is from RefSeq and is a predicted model, not a curated record. NCBI's taxonomy places the organism in Eukaryota, Viridiplantae, Streptophyta, Magnoliopsida, Solanales, Solanaceae. The transcript has 2 exons.